Molecule: ribosomal RNA, 253 nt
Filed under: uncultured bacterium
Lineage: Bacteria
Description: partial 16S ribosomal RNA
Rfam family: Bacterial small subunit ribosomal RNA
Source: RNAcentral
UACGUAGGGUGCGAGCGUUACUCGGAAUUACUGGGCGUAAAGUGUGCGCAGGCGGCAGAGCAAGUCGAGUGUGAAAGCCCCGGGCUUAACUUGGGAAUUGCGCUCGAAACUACUUUGCUGGAGUGUGGCAGAGGAAGGUGGAAUUCCACGUGUAGCGGUGAAAUGCGUAGAGAUGUGGAGGAACACCAAUGGCGAAGGCAGCCUUCUGGGCCAACACUGACGCUCAUGCACGGAAGCGUGGGGAGCAAACAGG